UUGAAAAGACCAAAAACUUCUCUGACAAGCUGUUGAGCUAGGGACUCCAUUCUUCCCUCCUUCCUCCCUCACGAUAUCUCCAUUACUUGCCUUUUUAGACUUGUUAAUCAUUUACUGCUUUUUUCCCUUUACUGUUUAUUGCUUGAGAUUUUGAAGAUAAGAUCUACAUCCAUCUAACCACUUCGGUCUUCCAUGUGCCUCCUCUCCACCUUCACCGGUCUACUCUCUUCCACCCUAUGGCUUCUAUCCUCGCGGGUGUUCCAUAUGCGCAACCACUACCAUAAGUCUUUUAUAACAGAUCCAUGGUCUCUUGGAUCUUUUCCAGAGAGCUCCUUAAUUUCCAAGGAACCUUUUUGUUCUUCAGAGCUCUCAUAUCCGAAUCUAAUUAUAAGCUUAAGCUUCACCUGAUUUGGUUAGACUUUAGACUCGCCAUCUUAAAAGGAGAUUUCUCAUAUGUUGUAUGUACAUAUACCUCUUAGUCCCUCAAUUUCUUUUGAGGGUUAGUUAGGAGCUAAGUUUUAUAAUGUUCUCUUCUUAGCCCUCCUGAUUUCCAACAUGGGGCCGCUUUCAGCUUCACUAGCAGUGUUCCCGAUCGACUUCCGACUCUUUGAGGUCUCCUUCCGGACCAGUGAGGUGCUAAUUGUUUGUCCAGAUUGGGACGUUUGUUUUCUGUAAUUCAGUUUUCUGUCCUACUUCAAAAAUUAAAUAAAUAAAAAAGUCUUCUACUAGUAGCAGGUCUUGUAGUCAAAGCGCGUCCUAAGUGCAUGCCUAAGUGGUACCAGCACUACCUUUGAAGUCAAGCUUGCAAAAUUAUAAACUACAAAUGGCCGGCCAUGCGAUUGCUCUUCCACCAAACCAUAGAGAUAAAAUAACACGCAUAAAAGCAGGAGUCAGGAGGGCGCCUUAAUUAAGGCUUACAUCUCUCCGUCUGAGACUCGAUCUACACCUUUGCUCAAAAGCCAUAACAAAGGUGAACUGACCGGCUGGCUUCUACAAGCAGCUUGUAUUUUCAGGUUUACAGGAUGAGUUGUUUUCCGGCAAAGGUGAUGGCAACACUAGUAGCACUAUUCCUUCUUGUGGGUGGAAUUGAUAUUCCACCAACUUCUACAUCACUUCCUUAUGGUGGUCGGAAGAGUUUAUCGCUUGAUGGCUCCACGAAGACGGCACCAAGAUUAGAAGGCAGCUCUGAAGGUUUGAACAUUACUGGUAAGAAAUUCGUUUCCUUCCGGAGCCUACGAGGAGAAGGUAUAUCGCCGCCACCUUCACCCGUCCGAAACCGAUCACCAAGGAGCGGGCCACCCCUUUAAUUCUGUUACCCAUGAUUUAUUUCAUUCACAACCAAUUCUCUGUCUAAGAAUAUAUAUAUAUAUAUAGCUGUGCUAUACCUAAUACCUCCUUAUUUAAGAACAAUAUAUACUUUAUGGUCACGGAUUUGAAGAAAGCCACUACUUAAAUUUUCUUAGUUGGAAAAUUGAGUUAGAAGAUACUAUUUAGCAGCUCUCCAUUGGAUAAUAAUCUUUCUUUUUUCUUUUUUU
This is a long non-coding RNA of Alnus glutinosa, 1535 nucleotides long. RefSeq lists it as uncharacterized. Lineage: Eukaryota; Viridiplantae; Streptophyta; Magnoliopsida; Fagales; Betulaceae. The transcript has 2 exons. The record is from RefSeq and is a predicted model, not a curated record.